AUCUAGCUUGGACGAGUCCCAAAUAGGACGAAAUGCGCAUCCUGGAU
Molecule: non-coding RNA, 47 nt
Filed under: Trichobilharzia regenti
Lineage: Eukaryota; Metazoa; Platyhelminthes; Trematoda; Strigeidida; Schistosomatidae
Source: RNAcentral